GUAAUACAAGGCAKACGGCUCAGUAACACGUAGUCAACCUACCCUAUGGACRAGAAUAAUCUCGGGAAACUGAGCAUAAUUCUUGAUAGAUCAUAAUGCCUGGAAUGGUUUAUGGUUAAAAUGAUUCGUCGCCAUAGGAUGGGACUGCGGCCUAUCAGCUUGUUGGUGAGGUAAUGGCCCACCAAGGCGAUUACAGGUACGGGCUCUGAGAGGAGAAGCCCGGAGAUGGGUACUGAGACACGGACCCAGGCCCUAUGGGGCGCAGCAGGCGAGAAAACUUUGCAAUGUGCGAAAGCACGACAAGGUUAAUCCGAGUGAUUUCUGCUAAAGAAAUCUUUUGCCAGUCAUAAAACCACUGGUGAAUAAGGGGUGGGCAAGUUCUGGUGUCAGCCGCCGCGGUAAAACCAGCACCUCAAGUGGUCAGGAUGAUUAUUGGGCCUAAAGCAUCCGUAGCCGGCUUUGUWAGUUUUCGGUUAAAUCCAUGUGCUCAACGCAUGGGCUGCCGAAAAUACUGCAURGCUAGGGAGUGGGAGAGGUAGACGGUACUCAGUAGGWAGGGGUAAAAUCCUUUGAUCUAUUGAUGACCACCUGUGGCGAAGGCGGUCUACCAGAACACGUUCGACGGUGAGGGAUGAAAGCUGGGGGAGCAAACCGGAUUAGAUACCCGGGUAGUCCCAGCUUGUAAACGAUGCARACUCGAUGAUGCAUUGGCAUAUAGCCA
Molecule: ribosomal RNA, 721 nt
Filed under: uncultured archaeon
Lineage: Archaea
Description: bacterial SSU rRNA
Rfam family: Archaeal small subunit ribosomal RNA
Source: RNAcentral